This 357-nucleotide ribosomal RNA is filed under the name uncultured bacterium. RNAcentral's name for it is "bacterial SSU rRNA". It matches the Rfam family "Bacterial small subunit ribosomal RNA", at positions 28 to 395 of the family's 1533-position model. The record is from RNAcentral.
GACGAACGCUGGCGGCGUGCUUAACACAUGCAAGUCACGGGGGUCCCGCAAGGGAUAACCGGCGAACGGGUGCGUAACACGUGACCAACCUGCCCCUGUGUGGGGGAUAGCCAUGCUAACGCGUGGGUAAUACCGCAUACGGUCCCUUGGGGGAGUCCCUGGGGGAAGAAAGCUCUGGCGCACGGGGAGGGGGUCGCGGCCUAUCAGCUAGUUGGCGAGGUAAUGGCUCACCAAGGCGACGACGGGAGCUGGUCUGAGAGGAUGGCCAGCCACAUUGGGACUGAGAGACGGCCCAGACUCCUACGGGAGGCAGCAGUGGGGAAUCUUGCGCAAUGGCCGAAAGGCUGACGCAGCGAC